GCCUUACGCCGGUUUUGGUGGCCCUAGGAAGGGGAGUCGAGCGGAGACGAGUUAUCUGAACCUUCUCGGGACGAUAACGGCGUCGAGCGGUGGAGGGGGGAGUAAUGCCGAGGAAAUUGCCCUGAUGUGGGGGAUAACCCUUGGAAACAAUAGCUAAAACCCCACGAGGCCUCCAGGGCACAAAGAGGGGCCUUCGGGCCUCUCGCGUCAGGAUAUGCCUAGGUGGGAUUAGCUAGUUGGUGAGGUAAGGGCUCACCAAGGGGACAAUCCCUAGCUGGUCUGAGAGGAUGAUCAGCCACACUGGAACUGAGACACGGUCCCCACUCCUACGGGGGGGAGCAGUGGGGAAUAUUGCACAAUGGGGGCCAGCCUGAUGCAGCCCUGCCGCGGGGGUGAAAAAAGCCUUCGGGUUGUAAAAAACUUUUUUUCGUGAGGAAGGGGGGGUCGUUAAUAACUGCCUUUUUUGACGUUUUCCACAAAAAAAACACCCGCUAACUCCUUGGCGGCAGCCGCGGUAAUACUGAGGGGGGGAGCGUUAAUCGGAAUUAUUGGGCGUAAAACGCACGCAGGUGGUUUUGUUAAAUCAUAUGUUAAAACCCGCGGGCUCAACCUCCGAAUUGCUUUUUUUAACUCGCAGACAACAGAACUGUAGAGGGGGGGGAGAAUUAUCAUCGUGGUAGCGGUGAAAAUGCGUAGAGAUCUGAAGAGAAUACCCGCUUGGCGCAGACGGGCCCCCUCGAGAGAUACUGACACUCAGAUGCUGAAAGCGUGGGGGAGCAAACACGAGUAGAUAACACUCGUAGUCCCCGCCGCCAAACAAUGUCUACUUGGAGGUUGUGGCCCUCGAGCCGUCGGCUUUCUGAGCUUACGCGUUAAGUAAAACCGCCCGGCGAGGACGCUCGCCACGAUUAAUAAAUCUCACAUAAAUAUGUCGGGCGGGCCCCCCAACAGUGGAGCAAGUGGGUCAAAUCGAUGCUACGCGCCGAAACAUUACCUCACU
RNAcentral lists this ribosomal RNA (1000 nucleotides) under Vibrio parahaemolyticus. RNAcentral describes it as "partial 16S ribosomal RNA". It matches the Rfam family "Bacterial small subunit ribosomal RNA", at positions 28 to 980 of the family's 1533-position model. The record is from RNAcentral. Lineage: Bacteria; Pseudomonadati; Pseudomonadota; Gammaproteobacteria; Vibrionales; Vibrionaceae.